This 492-nucleotide ribosomal RNA is filed under the name uncultured bacterium. Its description in RNAcentral is "partial 16S ribosomal RNA". It matches the Rfam family "Bacterial small subunit ribosomal RNA", at positions 29 to 507 of the family's 1533-position model. The record is from RNAcentral.
AGUGAACGCUGGCGGUAGGCCUAACACAUGCAAGUCGAAUGGCAGCACAGUAAGAGCUUGCUCUUACGGGUGGCGAGUGGCGGACGGGUGAGGAAUACAUCGGAAUCUACUUUUUCGUGGGGGAUAACGUAGGGAAACUUACGCUAAUACCGCAUACGACCUACGGGUGAAAGCAGGGGAUCUUCGGACCUUGCGCGAUUGAAUGAGCCGAUGUCGGAUUAGCUAGUUGGCGGGGUAAAGGCCCACCAAGGCGACGAUCCGUAGCUGGUCUGAGAGGAUGAUCAGCCACACUGGAACUGAGACACGGUCCAGACUCCUACGGGAGGCAGCAGUGGGGAAUAUUGGACAAAGGGCGCAAGCCUGAUCCAGCCAUACCGCGUGGGUGAAGAAGGCCUUCGGGUUGUAAAGCCCUUUUGUUGGGAAAGAAAAGCAGCAGGUUAAUACCCCGCUGUUCUGACGGUACCCAAAGAAUAAGCACCGGCUAACUUCGUG